Pseudonaja textilis is the source of this 539-nucleotide non-coding RNA. NCBI's taxonomy places the organism in Eukaryota, Metazoa, Chordata, Lepidosauria, Squamata, Elapidae. The record is from RefSeq and is a predicted model, not a curated record.
AUUUAGUCAAUAGAUUGUAGAGUUCCUCCAUUAAUGAUACUCCAUAUGCAGUGCUAUAUGAGAGAAAACCACCUCUAGCACAUUUAAGGUAAUUAGAAGAAAGGGGCAACCAAAGGCUAGAAAGCUCAGGAUUGUGGGCUAUGAGCCAGGCUCAAAGAGUUAUCGCUUCAGCGAUGGGAGCAAAAGAAUAGUAUUUUCAAGGUCUGCAAGCUUUGCAGAGCAAAAUUGGAACAGAAUUGAUGCAAAUUUAUGGAAUGAUUCACUUAGUGACGAAGAUCCACUUAGUGAUGGUAACUCACUUAGUGACAGUAACUCACUUAGUGAUGGUGUCAGGGUUCAGGGAGGAGAAGCUGAACAAGAUAUAAAGCAAGAGAAGGUUGACACACAGGAGCAGUCAGUGCCAUCCAGGUCAGAGCGAUGGAACAAAGGGAUUCCACCUGACAGGUAUUCUGCUAGUGAAGUAAAGGUGUGGUAUGUGUGGUAUGAGCCAAAGAACUAUAAGAAAGUAUUGGCAUUACCUAAAAUUGAACAAGUAAAGU